This 1242-nucleotide ribosomal RNA is filed under the name Carcinocoris binghami. RNAcentral's name for it is "16S ribosomal RNA". The stretch from base 815 to 1170 matches the Rfam family "Archaeal large subunit ribosomal RNA", at positions 2155 to 2712 of the family's 2987-position model. Lineage: Eukaryota; Metazoa; Arthropoda; Insecta; Hemiptera; Phymatidae. The record is from RNAcentral.
AGAUUGUGUUGUUAUUAUAUUUUUAUAUUCUCAUCUUUUAUUAAAAGUAAUUUAUUGCUUAGUAUUUGUUAAAGGAAUUCUUCUUUUUAUUAUAGUUUAUAGUACUGUAAAGGAAUCAUUUAAGCUCUAAUUAAAGUAGUUUUAGUUUAAUUGUACCUUUUGUAUCAGGGUUAAUUAAUUAUUAAUAAAUAUUUUAUUUUCCCGAAAUUAAACGAGAUAAUACUUUAUGUUUUUUAUUGUUUUAUAAUUACAUAUAAUAAAGUAUUAGUUGUGAAAUGCAAUUCAAGUUUAAAUAUCUGGUUUCUUAGGAGCUGAAUUGAAUUCAGAUAACACUUUUACUUUAAUUCUAUUAAGCUAAGUGUUAUUAAUAUAUUUGGGGCUUAGCUCAAAUAUAAAUUUAUAAUCUUCUAUUGAAUUGAGGACAGUAGGCUUAGAAUCAGCCAUCUUAAUUCGUUAUAGAUUCCCUUGAUUACUUUUUUUAUUUUUUUAUAUUUAAAAUUUUACUAAGAUCAAUCUGAUUAAUUGAAUAUCAUUUUUGAUAAUGAUUAAAUCAGUAUAUUAUAAAAUUAUAUUAUUGGAACUCGGCAAGAUUAAUUCCCGCCUGUUUAACAAAAACAUGUCCUUUAGAUUUAAAUUAAAGGUCUCACCUGCCCUAUGAUAUAUUGAAUGGCCGCGGUACUUUGACCGUGCAAAGGUAGCAUAAUCAUUUGUCUUUUAAUUGGGGACUAGAAUGAAUGGUUGGACGAGGAAUUACCUUUCUUUAAUAUAAAAAUAAAAUUUAACUUUUUAGUUAAAAGGCUAAAAUCUUUUUAUAGGACGAGAAGACCCUUUAGAACUUAACCUAUUAUUAACCCCCUCCAAUCCCCUAUCCCUUGGAGGGUAUUAAUAAUAGGUUGUGUUGGGGUGACAUUGAAAUAUUCUUAACUUUCAUUAUUAUUUUGUCAUAUAUUUAUGAUUGGCUGAUCCAUUAUUUAUGAUUAUAAGAUUAAGUUACCUUAGGGAUAACAGCGUAAUUUCUUUGGAGAGAUCUUAUCGAUGAAGGAGUUUGCGACCUCGAUGUUGGAUUAAAAUAAGUAGUAGGAGUAGAAGAUUACUUACUGGGUCUGUUCGACCCUUAAUAUUUUACAUGAUUUGAGUUCAGACCGGCGUGAGCCAGGUUGGUUUCUAUCCUUAAAUUAUGAUUAUAUGUUUUAGUACGAAAGGGCCAAGCAUAUUAAUUAAAUUGUUAAUUUUGAGUAAUUU